Molecule: ribosomal RNA, 753 nt
Filed under: Phrynosoma asio
Lineage: Eukaryota; Metazoa; Chordata; Lepidosauria; Squamata; Phrynosomatidae
Description: partial 12S ribosomal RNA
Rfam family: Bacterial small subunit ribosomal RNA
Source: RNAcentral
AUCCCAGUGAAAUAUGCCCUAGUAAAACACACGGAGCAGGUAUCAGGCACGAAUACUCAGCCCAAGACACCAAGCCAUGCCACACCCACACGGGCUCUCAGCAGUGAUAGACAUUAAGCAAUAAGCGAAACCUACCUCAAGCUUGACUUAGUUAUGAUUAACAGGGCCGGUCAACCUCGUGCCAGCCACCGCGGUUAUACGAGGGGCCCAAAGCAGCACAACCACGGCGUAAAUCGUGAUUAGAAUACUUACCAAAACCUAAAAGCUAAACAAUGCCCAAGCCGUAAAACGCAGGCCAAAUGAAACCACAAAACUUUUACAUAUGGGUAAUUUGACUCACGAAAACUAAGAAACAAACUAGGAUUAGAUACCCUACUAUGCUUAGUCAUUAAUAUGGUAUUUUAACACAUAAAAUACCCGCCAGAAGACUACGAGCGAAAAGCUUAAAACUCAAAGGACUUGGCGGUGCUCCAUCCGACUUAGAGGAGCCUGUCCUAUAAUCGAUACUCCACGCUAAACCUUACCAUUCAUUGCCAAAAACAGCCUAUAUACCGCCGUCGCCAACUUACCCCAUGAGGACUCAACAGUAAGUACAACAGUUAACUAACUAAAACGUCAGGUCAAGGUGUAGCUUAUAGAAUGGAAGAGAUGGGCUACAUUUUUUAAAAUAAAAUAAACGGCAUGAAACUAUGAAACUAGCUUCUAAAGGAGGAUUUAACAGUAAAAUUACUAAGAAAGCUAAUUUUAAACACG